This 553-nucleotide ribosomal RNA is filed under the name uncultured bacterium. Its description in RNAcentral is "bacterial SSU rRNA". It matches the Rfam family "Bacterial small subunit ribosomal RNA", at positions 567 to 1116 of the family's 1533-position model. The record is from RNAcentral.
GUGCGUAGGCGGCUUUUUAAGUUUGGUGUGAAAUCUCCUGGCUUAACCGGGAGGGUGCGCCGAAUACUGAGAAGCUAGAGUAUGGGAGAGGAAAGUGGAAUUGCAGGUGUAGCGGUGAAAUGCGUAGAUAUCUGCAGGAACACCCGUGGCGAAAGCGGCGCGCUGGAUCACUACUGACGCUGAGGAACGAAAGCUAGGGGAGCAAACAGGAUUAGAUACCCUGGUAGUCCUAGCCCUAAACGAUCAGGACUUGGGGUGCCACCCGUUCGGGUGUCGUCCCGGAGCUAACGCGUUAAGUCCUGCACCUGGGGAGUACGGUCGCAAGACUGAAACUCAAAGGAAUUGACGGGGGCCCGCACAAGCGGUGGAACAUGUGGUUUAAUUCGACGCAACGCGAAGAACCUUACCAGCUCUUGACAUGCCCGGUAUGGGGAGGAGAGAUCUUCUUCUUCAGUUCGGCCGGCCGGGACACAGGUGCUGCAUGGCUGUCGUCAGCUCGUGUCGUGAGAUGUUGGGUUAAGUCCCGCAACGAGCGCAACCCCCAUCUGCAGUU